CACCGCAGUCCAUACCGUCCCUGUCACAAAAAUUCAUUUCUCAAAUGUCAAAUCUCAAUUCAUCAUAUUGAAUCUCUGUACUCUGUUUUCGAUGAAGAGAAUGAAAAAUUGAAGAUGAUUGAUUGAUUGAUUGAUUGAUUGAUGAGGAAAACAAGACGAACCGGUUCUUUUGACAUCGCCUGAAUCUGCGUUUUGCAAGAAUGGUGCGCUGUCACCUGCUUCACUCAUGGCUGCUUCUUUCUGAUCAAACGCGAACACUGGAUUCAGCUGCUGAUUCCCGUGAUUGUUCUUCUCAUUAUCGUUCAAUUCAGUGAGGUGAAUCGAGUUUUUCUCUGGUUCUUGUUUGUUUGGGUUGGAUCAAUGGAGAAAGAGAUACAGAAAGAUGUGGAAAGUUCUAACUGACUAACUUCUUA
This 413-nucleotide long non-coding RNA is filed under the name Lotus japonicus. RNAcentral's name for it is "long non-coding RNA (LJAP_LNC000135)". Lineage: Eukaryota; Viridiplantae; Streptophyta; Magnoliopsida; Fabales; Fabaceae. The record is from RNAcentral.